CCUACGGGUGGCCGCAGUGGGGAAUUUUGCGCAAUGGGGGAAACCCUGACGCAGCAACGCCGCGUGAUCGAUGAAGACCUUCGGGGUGUAAAGAUCGGUCAGUGGGGACGAAACCUGACGGGACCCACAGAGGAAGCACCGGCGAACUCCGUGCCAGCAGCCGCGGUAAUACGGGGGGGGCAAGCGGUGUCCGGAACCAUUGGGCGGAAAGCGUUCGUAGUUGGCCCGUUAAGGCGGGGGUUAAAGGCGGCAGCUCCACUUCCGUAGGGCACUGGAUACUGGCGAGCUUGACUGCGGUAGUGGUCACGGGACUUCCUGGUGUAGCGGUGAACUGCGUAGAUAUCCGGCGGACCCUCGGUGGCGUACGCGCUUUCCUGGGCCGUACUUGACCCUGAGGUACGACAGCCGGGGUAGCAACUGGGAUUAGAUACCCCUGUAGUC
This 441-nucleotide ribosomal RNA is filed under the name uncultured bacterium. RNAcentral describes it as "partial 16S ribosomal RNA". It matches the Rfam family "Bacterial small subunit ribosomal RNA", at positions 338 to 795 of the family's 1533-position model. The record is from RNAcentral.